GUGAAUCAUCAAAUCUUUGAACGCAUAUUGCACUCUCUGGUAUUCCGGAGAGUAUGCCUGUUUGAGGGUCAGUUAAAUUAAAAUCGGUGUUGUUGCUACCCGUAGUGGUGUGUGAUGCAUCGGAAUUGAGUCGUUCCUUACCUUUGGUUUUAAGUGACUUAAAAUUAUGUACGAUUUCUGAACGUAUUUAAAUUAUUUACUUACGCUCAUGAUAUCAUAUAUUAGGUGCGGUCAUUCCUAUGAUUCCGCGCCUAUAAUUUUUUCAUUAUUUGACCUCAAAUCAGGUAAGAGUACCCGCUGA
This 301-nucleotide unclassified non-coding RNA is filed under the name Glomeraceae sp. RNAcentral's name for it is "partial contains 5.8S ribosomal RNA, internal transcribed spacer 2, and large subunit ribosomal RNA". The stretch from base 1 to 71 matches the Rfam family "5.8S ribosomal RNA", at positions 84 to 154 of the family's 154-position model. The record is from RNAcentral. Lineage: Eukaryota; Fungi; Glomeromycota; Glomeromycetes; Glomerales; Glomeraceae.